AUUAACUAAUCAUGAACCAUUGAAGAGCUAUCCUUAACUACGACUGGAGUCCUAUGGAUUCACUCAUUAAUAACAGCAGCCUUAACUACAUGUUUCAUAGUUAAUGCAUUAAUUAACAUAAGUGAGUGCAUGCUGAAGUAAGUUAAGUGUUACCAGAUUUAUCCAACUGCUGGAACUUGCAUCUAAACUGUUUGCACCCACAUACCAAAAUUUGCUGUGCUGCUUUACUUGUUGGUUUUGAACACAACCCAGAACUUUCACCUCUACACGUCGUAUGAUGUAUUGAUAUCCUACAGGCAGUGGUCACACCUCUUUUGUUUAGUGACAGCAAAUGAGAGUUGUCAAAAAAAAAUAAAAUAAAAAAUUCUUAUAUUCCUCCUUCAAGUUUGGCAUCGUUUUGAAACCAAGUGGCAAGAUGAACCCAGUUGUAGUUUAUUUGAUAAUAUCACUUCAGUGGAGCUCAGGUUUUGCUGAUGUAAAUGAUAUUACACAGUCUCCAUCCAUAAUGUUACCUCUUAAGGAUAAUGCCACUCUAAAUUGCAGUCACACAAAAGGUGUUGAUUAUGACAGAAUGUACUGGUUCAUUCAGCAUCAAGGACAAACUAUGGAGCUCAUAGUGUACACAACAAGUUUUGGCACCAAGGAAUUUGGAAAACUCAACAAAGAAAAAUAUUCAGUCAAUCAUGAAUCUGCAGAGAAGGGUUUUCUUACUGUGAUCAAUCUGGAGUCUCAUGACAGUGCGCUGUAUUUGUGUGCAGUGAGUGAACACAGUGCAGCAGAAUCACUUCACAGAUGUACAAAAACCUUUUUAAUGUCAUGAGAAGUGAUAUUAAAGAUCACACAGACAGGUGACACUCAUGCUCAACAUCACAAUGCAGCCUUAUAGAAAGAUUUAGAUCCUAAAGUAUUUUUGUAUGACAUUAACACACUGUAAAAAAAAAAAAAAAAAAUUCCCAUGAAAUUUACAGUAAAAAAAGGCAGCUGUGGUUGCCAGAACUUUACCGUAAAAAUAUGGUAGCUUAGUUUUAGGUUUUAUAGGACAGCACUUAGUCUAUUUUACAAUUCAACACUGUAUAAUUUAAAGGUUAAUAUUGUAAUAAUUACAGUUCAUAACUGUUUAUUUUAUGGCUUCAGAAGACUUGGAAAACAUUCUGUACACUUAUACAGACUUGGAACGCCAUGCAGGUUAGUAACUGAUAACAGAAUUUUAAACUUUUCUAAGCUAUUCCUUUAGAAAUCCAGCUUUAGGAUAUGUAGCAAAGGUGAAAUUUGACACACAGCAGGAGGUGGUGUUAACCAUACAACCUUUCUUGUACUAACUUAGCCUACGACUGUUACACUCAAAACAAACUCUCUGUUCUCUCUAUAAGGUAAUGAGGGGAAGGUGAUGGUGAAGGUUUGUCCACACACACAUCUCUUUUCUGAACAUUGAAGUCAACAUGAUCAGGACUCUCAUCAGUGUUGCUUUUCUCUUCUGUCUCUCAGGUAUUUCAAACAGUCAAGAUGUGCAUCAGGCUGAAAAUGAUCUGAUCAAAUUUCCUGGACAAUCAGAAGAGCUCCACUGUUCUCAUAGUUCAUCUUCUUACAAUGUCAUGCUCUGGUACAAACAAACACGUGGCAAAGGGUUGGAGCUCCUUGGAUACCUUGUGGGCUCUAGUGAAACAGUUGAGGAUAAAUUCAAAAAUAAAACAAAUCUGGAUGGCAAUGCAAAUAAAAACUGUGUUUUAAAACUAAAGAAUCUUUCAUCGGAUGACAGUGCAGUGUACUUUUGCGCUGCUAGUAUACACAGUGCUGUGGGUUCCCUUCCUUCUCAGCAAAAACCCUGGUGUAUUAACAUGCAAUUACAAUGACAAAAACAUUGCAGAAGCAUCAUAAAACUAUCCUAAAAGUGCUCCAUAUUUUCGGGAGCCAUACAAACAUACAAUAGCUUUGUACGAUGGACAGCCUGAAAUGUAAAUAUAUAUUUUUUUAAUUUUCCCAUUUGGAAGCUUUA
Molecule: long non-coding RNA, 1993 nt
Organism: Ctenopharyngodon idella (grass carp)
Lineage: Eukaryota; Metazoa; Chordata; Actinopteri; Cypriniformes; Xenocyprididae
Exons: 3
Source: RefSeq, a predicted model, not a curated record